Molecule: long non-coding RNA, 2820 nt
Organism: Brassica napus (rape)
Lineage: Eukaryota; Viridiplantae; Streptophyta; Magnoliopsida; Brassicales; Brassicaceae
Exons: 4
Source: RefSeq, a predicted model, not a curated record
ACUAGAUCAUAACCCGCCCGACUGGGCGGGUCUUUGUUUUUUUGAUAUAAACAUUUAAAAAAUUACAAUCUGAUGGCUCCUGUUUUACUAAUUAAGUAUAUUGUUUAAACAUUGUAUUUCAUCAGUGUAUUGUGUAACAGAGGCAUCAAUAAAAUGUUGUGAAUCGUAAACACAAUUUAGUAAGAGUUUACAAAGUUAUAUACCUUAAGCAAUUUAGUCAUAUUUUGAGUUAUUAUUUUAAUGAAGAAUUGGGAGGCUAGUAUAUCACUGUUAAGAACUCUUACCAAUAGUCAAUAUAAAUUAUAUAAAUAAGGUAGAUAUUAUUCUUGAUUUAUUCUAAAUACAUUUAAAACAUGAGUAUAUAUAUGUAUAAAUAAUGUUCAUAAAAUAAGUAAUAUCAAUGAUACAAAACCCAAAAACAAAAAAAAUAAUGGUAAUUUGGGCCGUAGUAAUCUUUAGUUUAAUAAAAGUAAGGCCAUAGGUUUCUGUUAGGUUUUUUUUUUCCGGGAAAAACACAAACUGUUGUCGUAACAAAAAAGAUGAUUUGUUUCUAUCAAAACAGAGUAAAUAUUCAACAACUUUCUCUUCUCCUCAGGGAACCGUCAGACAUAGAGAUUGACAAAGCUUAUGAAUAGAAGCCUAAACUGGAGCAAUAUUUGAAGAUCAUCUGUCAAUAUAGCUUCAAUCUCAAGAUCAUCUCUAUGUUGAAGGAUAUAUAUUUCAAAUCAGAGAUGAAAAAGAAUCUCUAUAGAAGGUGUUGAUUAAACAUGCAAGAUCAUCAAUGGCUGUCAAGCUCACCUCGUAACAAAAGUUAAGCGAAGAAGUCGAAUAGAUUCCAACAUAUAUGAGUCGAGAUAGUUAGAAUCAACAUACGAAUAAAGCUCUGGAGUUCUUUAUACAGGAGCAACUGAUACGAAACAGUGAAGACAAAGAGGAAGAAAGGUAGAGAGAUAAUUAGACGAUGUAGAACGAAUCUCUAUAGAUGAUAAGCAGAAAUGUUUUAACAGUGGCAAAAGAGAGACCAUAUUGGAUUAACUGGGCAGAUCUCCACCAAGAUGAUGCCUAAGCUCACAUAGACAUUGAUCAUAUAUUGGACUAACUGUGCUGCCAGAAAGAUAUAUGUUGGAAAAGAAAGAAUGUACAUCCGUGUGUCAGUGUGUGUUGAAGAUCAAACACACAUAUUCCAAACAUAUCACAGAAAAAAGGUUAGAAAUCUACUUUCGCCUUGGUAGUACUCAAAUUAAAAUAAAGUUAGUAAUAAAAAGAAAUCAAUUUCGAAACAGCAUCGGUUAGAACUAAGAUUGAACAUUUGCCUUAUAAUUUAUUUUUGGCUUGUCACUGAUUAUUGCUUGCUUAAUGGUACUUGAAUUUCUGUGUUUGAUAUAAUAUUGGAUGGUAAUUUUUAGUUUAUCUAAAAAAUGAAUACUUAGAAAAAUAAAAUACUUCACUAAAAUAUAAAUGUUGCUAAAACGAAAGAAUGAAAUCAGUUCGAGUUCCUUCUAAAAAUACAAUCCAGAUCCUUGCUUUAGUGAAAUCUGCAAUAAUCAAAUAAUUUAUUAGAUAAAAAAUAGGUGAUAUCAAUAGUCAUUUAGAUAGUAACUCAUGUAAAUAAAUAAUUCCAUUGCAGAAACCAACAUGUUUCAAUAUAUAUAGAGAUAGAAAAGUUACUUGUUGAUCUGUGAGGAUGCACUCAAGAGAUUCGCCAAAGUUGGUGUUUGAUUUCCACGAGUGAAAGACCUUGACGUGUACCCUCCAAUUGUCUUUGUAGGGUUUCACUUCGUUGAGGAAAACAAAGCUUUGCUUGUUAGACAUUUUUUUUCUCUGCUUAAAUUUCUGAGUAAGAGCUGAAGGGUGAUUUAUAUAGAUUGGUAAUGCGUGCCUAUUCGGCAUACCUAGAUUUUGUAUAUUAAUUACAAAUUUAAUACCUAGAUUUUGUGGAAACUAUCACGCAAAAAAUAUGCAUAAGAUUUUACAUUGUAGGCGAAUUUAGGUAAAUUAGUUAUUAUACUUGAGAAUAUUCUAUAAAUAAUACGCAUAAGAUAAUACAUUAUAGGGAAAUAUAGGUAAAUUAGUUGUGAUACUUCGAUUAUUCCAUAUUUUUAAUAACAAAUAUUUUGGGCUAGAUAAUAAAGAAAAUUGUAUUAUCUAGAGUAUAUUUUGUCAAGUAGUUAAGUAAUAUAUUUGAUGCAAUUAAUUCAAACUUGGUGAGCAAUUCACGAUGCACAAUGACUAUCAAAUUUGUUCAUCUUUAAUUAGUUAUGGUCGACAUGCCAUUUCCCUGAUCAAACAGGAUUGUUCAAGCAAAAUGCGUUUUGAGGAUUCAUUAUCAAACACUGCAUAUUAUUGUUGCACUGCCAUGAUCAAAUAAUGUUGUUUUUCUAAAAUGAAAUUCAGAUUUCGAUAAAAGCAUUGUGCAGGGAUAAGCUGGAUAAAGAUCGAGUGACAAAUCAUAUAUAAGCACACAAAAAAAUGUAUUUGAAACAGCACGUUGAUGACAAACAUAAUUGAUAUGAAUUUCUGUUAUGAAGCUCUCUUUUUUAUAUAGGGAAGAGAAUCAAGUGGAGUGAGAUAUCGAAGUCAAGUUAUGUAUAUGGAACGCAGGAAUUUAUUAGAUUCGUUUGUUUUUAAAUUAUUUACGUACAUUUUUUUGGUUAAUUAAAAGAGUAAUAAUAUCAAUUUGUAUGCUAUCCAUGUUUCCAAUCAAAAUUCUUUUUUUUUCCUAUUCAUGUUUCCAAACAAUCUCAUUUUGUACUUGAGUUUUAAUAAGAUAGAUAAAAUUGAUACAAACCAAGAAAAAGUCAACAUUAAAUUAAGCAUUGU